Molecule: ribosomal RNA, 540 nt
Filed under: uncultured bacterium
Lineage: Bacteria
Description: partial 16S ribosomal RNA
Rfam family: Bacterial small subunit ribosomal RNA
Source: RNAcentral
UGGGGAAUAUUGCACAAUGGGCGCAAGCCUGAUGCAGCCAUGCCGCGUGUGUGAAGAAGGCCUUCGGGUUGUAAAGCACUUUCAGCGAGGAGGAAGGUGGUGGACUUAAUACGUUCAUCAAUUGACGUUACUCGCAGAAGAAGCACCGGCUAACUCCGUGCCAGCAGCCGCGGUAAUACGGAGGGUGCAAGCGUUAAUCGGAAUUACUGGGCGUAAAGCGCACGCAGGCGGUUUGUUAAGUCAGAUGUGAAAUCCCCGGGCUCAACCUGGGAACUGCAUUUGAAACUGGCAAGCUAGAGUCUCGUAGAGGGGGGUAGAAUUCCAGGUGUAGCGGUGAAAUGCGUAGAGAUCUGGAGGAAUACCGGUGGCGAAGGCGGCCCCCCUGGACGAAGACUGACGCUCAGGUGCGAAAGCGUGGGGCAGCAAACAGGAUUAGAUACCCUGGUAGUCCACGCUGUAAACGAUGUCGAUUUGGAGGUUGUGCCCUUGAGGCGUGGCUUCCGGAGCUAACGCGUUAAAUCGACCGCCUGGGGAGUACGG